Molecule: long non-coding RNA, 3104 nt
Organism: Miniopterus natalensis
Lineage: Eukaryota; Metazoa; Chordata; Mammalia; Chiroptera; Miniopteridae
Source: RefSeq, a predicted model, not a curated record
UUAAAAUAAAUUAAGUAACAAUUCCUCUCAUUAUGAAAAUCAUAUAAUCUGUGUCCUUUAUCCUUUGAAUAUUCUUAUGUAAUUGGUGUAAAAACUGCCAGAAUGAACUAGUAAAAUGGAGAUUUCUGGUGGUACAGAAGCUAGAUGAAAAGAGUGGCUGUUCUUUUUUUUCUUUUUAGGAACUAUCUUGCUAGCAGGUGGCUUUUGGUAAUCGGUAGUUCCAAGGGCUUAUAUUGAAUAAGUGACUUAUUCUACCUAUAAUGCAUUCCAUCGACUAUCAUCUCUGGAAAUUAUUUUUAAAGAAAUUAGCCAACUGAUUUCUAGAAAGUGAAUUCUGACUGUGAUAUUCAUCUCGCUUUCCCUGUGGGACUGUCCAUGAUGCACUGUUGCCCCCUUGAGCUAAAAUGUGUCUGUGAUGUCAGAAUGUUCUCUCCUGCUCUGCAGUUACAGUGGCAAAUUGUAGGAGUAGCACAUUCACAAGGAAGAAUUUGUAAAAUUAGAACAGUUCAAACACAUCUCUUUUUCAGGCUUUUCAAGUAUAAGCUUUCAGAAAAUUUACCAUUUUUAGAUUUGGUAAUACAGUUGAAGGAAAUGAGUGGAAAAUAUUCACAAGGAUGAUAGUAAAAAAUGUCGUUAAUAUUGUUUUAAAUAUUUUCCAGGUUUUACUGGGUUGCAUGUAAGUAUGUUUAAUAGUUCACUAAGGUUAUCAAAAUUUUGGCAGGAAUAGUUGAACUAAUUAAAAUUUCUAUUCAAGAUUAGGUGCUUAAAGCCAGUCUGUAUUAAAAUGUAAGGAAAUAGUUAGAUUUUUCUGUAACAUUUUUUCUUUGUAUCUUGGUAUAUACUACGGACUUACUGUAGACUGUGCUGUACAUUCCGUCAUGAUAGGUUCCAUGGCCUCGUAAUACGUUAACUUUGGUUCUCCAGUAAUUGGUGGGCAUACUCUAUUGAAUUCCCCUCCGAAAAAUAUACCUUAGUAAUUUUCCAAUUUACUUCGCCUCAUUUUAAAAGUGGAUAUGAAUAGAACCGUAUUUUAUUUUAUUUUUUAUAAUUGUAUAAAUUUGAAAAGUUUUAAUACCUGAAAAUCUGAGAAUUUACCUUACAAAUGAAAUGAACUUACAUUGAAAAUUUUAUUCCAGGUAACAAUCUAUUUGACCUUUUUUUCCUUCUUUCCCAGCUGUGUUCUUUUUCUCAUGUUUUAUAUGUUCUAGCAUCCUGCCUGCCAAGCUUUUUAUUUAGAUUCCCGCCUUUCUCUAAAUUACUAUAUUUAUGUCAACUUUUGUAGUAUAUGCCAGUAAAAUCAUUUAUUAAUCAGGCACAGAAAAACUAAUACAACUUGGAAAGGUUAGAUAGAAUUUUUAUUUUGUCCUGAAAUUUUCCCCAUUGUCAAUGUUACAUUCUGCACAAACACUCAUUUCAUUGGCUUGUGUGGUGUGUAUGGUUUUGGCUUCCAGUAACGCACUUGUUUGCAGUAAUGAAUCCUCAAGUUCAAUUUCAGAUUUUUUCCCACACACAUCAAAAGAUUAUUUAAUCCAUUGGACUUUUCAAGAUUUUCAAAAGUAAUUUGAAGCGUUUGGAAAUUAAAACUAGACUUUGAAAGACUAGAGUAAUGUGACCUUUUAAAUUGUAAAUCAAAAAUUUUUCAUUUUUAAUACUUAAUGAAUCAGUUUCUUUCCCCAGUGAGAGUUAAUAUUUGAAAGUAGUAAGAUUUGCUUUACAAAUGUAUAUAAACACGUAUGAAAUUGUUCGUGGUGAUAAAUUGGAGUAGGUAUUUUCAUUCAUCGUUAAAGACUGACUUUGGGAGCCAUCACUCUCUGGGUUGAAAUCUCAGCUCUAUUUAUUGCUGUGUGCCCUUGAGAGGAUUCUUCUCUGUGCCUCAGUUUCCUCUUGAGCAAAAUAAGGACUGACAGGGUGGUUAUGAGGAUUAAGUGAGGUAAGACCUGUAGAGCACUUGGGAAGGGGCCUGGCACUUGGAGAAGUGCUAACUAAGCAUUACCUUUGACUUAAAUGCUCUUUGAUUUACUUGGAUUUUUUCAAAUUUAUAAUUGUACCUUAUUAAUAAACAUAAUCUAAAUAAGUUACUGAAAACUUCUCAACAGUUAUAUGAAUUAGUGAGGAAAGAAAGCUGUCAUUGAACCCAUGUAGUUUCAAGGCUCUAUGCCUUUUUAUACACAUUUGUUAAAUAAUUAAGCAUUAAACCUAAAGAUUUUAUAUUACAAAGGGAAAGAUUAGGUAUAAUGAUUUUACUUAGAUCUCUGGCUUGAAAGAUUAUUUAAAAGUACAGGACACAUUACAAUGAUGUGUGAAGCACCGUGAUUGCCAAUAAUUUUAAAAACUAUCAUAGCAUAACUGAAUUGACAAGAAGUGUUUGUUAUUAAAUCACCCUCCAAUACUCUCAGUAUUCUAUUCAUUUAGUUAUAAUCCUGGUAACUAAGAUGUUGAAGUAUAAAUUUAUAUUAUAAUAAAAUUGAAAGUAAACUGAGGAUUUUAAGGGAGUAAGAAAAGAGGGAAUAUUUUGAUUGCUUAAAGGUGUUUGCAGCCUGCUGUGUGUAUCUUGUGUCAUUUCUUUGCCAUGUGUGGUGCUAAAAAGUGUCUUUUAUGUAUAGCUGCCUUGGCUGUGGAAGAGCUUGUCCUUGAGUGAUUUCAUGGAAUAAUUUACGCCGGUGGAAGAAAAGAAGAAGAUAUUCUUGGAGAAACUACUUCUUACCAUUGUCAUCUCAGAUGCACCACUGAUUCAAAUUUUGUUAAUUCUUUGGGAGAAAGUUACUUAAGGCAUUGAAAACAGAAAAAAUGAAAUUGAAGAUUCACCUGAACCUUUGAUAGAUCCUGUGUAUGGACAUGGCAGAUACUUGGAUGUGAUGAGCAGGAAAUUACACCAACCUGAGCUCCCAGCAGAGGAGCAGCGGCCACUGUGGAUGGACAGAGAAGGAAGACGACAGCAGGACACACAGGAAGGAAACAGUCUUCGUAGAAAAACUGAAGAGGGAUGGACGGCAAGAGAUGCUGCUUCUGGCAAAGGCCACAGAAGAUGCUGAAAGAGAAGCUGGGACAGAGGGACAGCGGCGCAGAAGCGGAGGAGAGGGCGCCGAGAAGGUAGGUUUCCCUUC